RNAcentral lists this ribosomal RNA (350 nucleotides) under Oryzaephilus surinamensis (saw-toothed grain beetle). RNAcentral's name for it is "partial 12S ribosomal RNA". The record is from RNAcentral. Lineage: Eukaryota; Metazoa; Arthropoda; Insecta; Coleoptera; Silvanidae.
UAUAGACGGAAGUUUAUGACCAGAUUAGUAUUAGUUAUUUUCUUGAAAAUUAAAAAAUUUGGCGGUAUUUUAGUCUUUUCAGAGGAACCUGUUGUAUGAUUGAUAGUCCACGAUUUAUUAUACUUUUAUUAUUAGUUUAUAUAUCGUUGUUGUUUGAAUAUUUUUUAAGGAUUUAAAUAUUCAUAAUUUUCUUUAGAAAGGAAAUCAGAUCAAGAUGUAGCUUAUAUAAAAGAAUUAAUGGGUUACAAUAAAUUAUAUUUAAACGGACAGGGUUUUGAAAAUACUCUUAAAGGUGGAUUUGAAAGUAAUUAGAAUUUAGAUUGUUUUGAUGAUUUAGCUCUAGAAUAUGU